UUGCACGCUGGCGGCAGGCCUCACACAUGCAAGUCGAACGGUAACAGGAAGAAGCUUGCUUCUUUGCUGACGAGUGGCGGACGGGUGAGUAAUGUCUGGGAAACUGCCUGAUGGAGGGGGAUAACUACUGGAAACGGUAGCUAAUACCGCAUAACGUCGCAAGACCAAAAAGGGGGACCUUCGGGCCUCUUGCCAUCGGAUGUGCCCAGAUGGGAUUAGCUAGUAGGUGGGGUAACGGCUCACCUAGGCGACGAUCCCUAGCUGGUCUGAGAGGAUGACCAGCCAAACUGGAACUGAGAAAAGGUCCAGACUCCUAAGGGAGGCAGCAGUUGGGAAUAUUGGACAAAGGGCGCAAGGCUGAUGCAGGCCUGCCGCGUGGAUGAAGAAGGCCUUCGGGUUUUAAAGUACUUUCAGCGGGGAGGAAGGGAGUAAAGUUAAUACCUUUGCUCAUUGACGUUACCCGCAGAAGAAGCACCGGCUAACUCCGUG
RNAcentral lists this ribosomal RNA (489 nucleotides) under uncultured bacterium. Its description in RNAcentral is "partial 16S ribosomal RNA". It matches the Rfam family "Bacterial small subunit ribosomal RNA", at positions 30 to 507 of the family's 1533-position model. The record is from RNAcentral.